Molecule: ribosomal RNA, 241 nt
Filed under: uncultured bacterium
Lineage: Bacteria
Description: partial 16S ribosomal RNA
Rfam family: Bacterial small subunit ribosomal RNA
Source: RNAcentral
UACGUAGGGGGCUAGCGUUGUCCGGAAUCAUUGGGCGUAAAGCGCGUGUAGGCGGCCCGGUAAGUCCGCUGUGAAAGUCCAGGGCUCAACCCUGGGAUGCCGGUGGAUACUGUCGGGCUCGAGUCCGGGAGAGGGGAGCAGAAUUCCCAGUGUAGCGGUGAAAUGCGUAGAUAUUGGGAGGAAUACCAGUGGCGAAGGCGGCUCCCUGGACCGGUACUGACGCUGAGGCGCGAAAGCGUGG